AACUGAAGGAGGGUUUUCAACCAUACUAAGGGAUUUUAUCCUUCAGGCAAAGGGGAGUGAUGAUGGUGUAAAGGUAUCAACUCAUUUAAUCCUACCAGCAACAGGAAAGCAGUGGAAAGCAGGCACCGAUCGUCCAUUUUACACAUAAGAAAUGUGAGAGUCAGGGAAGUUUAAAGGACUUUCCUGGCAUGGUCUGUUUAAUUUGUGGCAGAGCUGUGACAAACCCAGGUUGUCUGGCUCAGGCCUCCAUGCUUCCUUUUAGAGAAAUGGUGAAAACUCUAUGAGAAGUAGAAGAUCUUGAUGAUGAAAAGUGACCAAUACCAGCAUAAAAUAACAACCCCCAAGUGUCCUGGUGGCUGGAACAGACAGCUGACAAUUCCUACAUCAUGGUUUGGUCUUUGCGAGUGCUAACUAGGUUUAACGGGGAAGGGUGGGGGUACAGACAGGGACUGUGCUGCAAUUUCCGUCAGCCGUUGCUGAUGGGUACAGGUGCACUGGUGACAGAAGGGACAGCUGUGUGAGGCAGAGCAAGGGAAUGUAGGGCAGGUAUCAUGACAUGAGCUGCAAAUCAAAAGCACAAUGAGAUAUCACUGCAACCUGUCAGAAUGGCUAUCAUCAAAAAACCCACAAAUAACAAAUGCUGUUGAGGAUGUGGAGAAAGUGGAACCCUCGUAUGCUAUUGGUGAGCAUGUGAAUUGGUGCACCCACUGUGGAAAGCAGUAUGGAAGUUUCUCAAAAAACUAAAAAUAGAAUUACCAUACAAGCCAGCAAUUCCACUCCAGGGUAUUUAUCUGAAAAAAACAAAAACACUAAUUAAAAAAGAUACGUGCACCCCAGUGUUCGUAGCAGCAUUAUCUACAGUAGCCAAGAUAUGGAAGCAACUCAAGUGUCUAUCAACAGAUGAAUGGAUAAAGAAAAUGUGGGAUAUAUAGAUACAUAUAUAUGAAAUGGAAUACUAUUCAGCUAUAAAAAGAAUGAAAGCUUGUCAUUUGCAACAACAUGGAUGGGUGGGCCUGGAGGGCAUUAUGACUAGUGAAAUAAAUCACAGACAGAAAGACAAAUAAUGUUAUGAUAUCACUUGUAUAUGAAAUCUUUUUUUUUCUUUUGGUCUUUUCUAGGGCUGGGAGCUACAGCUCCAAUUUGACCCUUAUCCUGGAAACCUCCAUAUGCCACAGGUAUGGCACUUAAAAAAAAAAGACAAAAAAAAUAAUAUUCAGUUACAUAUGUAUAUGUGUAUGUGUGUGUGUGUAUCUAUAUGUAUCACAUUUAUAAUCCACUUACCCAUGACAAACACCUAAGUUGAUAACAUAUCUUGGCUAUUGUGAAUAAUACUGUGAUGAACAUGGAAGUGCAGAUAUCUUUUUGAGGUACUAAUUUCAGUUCCUUUGGAUAUAUACUGAGAGGAGUGGGAUUGUUGGACCAUAUGGUAGUUCUAUUUUUAAUUUUUUAAGGAAUUGCCAUACUGCUUUCCAUAAUGGGUGCACCAUUGCUUAGUCUCAUCAACAGUAUACAAAUGUUCCCAUUUUUGAGCAGCCUGUAGAACACUUACCUUUGGUUUUUUGAAUAAUAUCCAUCAUAACUGGUGUAAGAUGAGAUCUCAUUGUGGUUUUGAUUUGUAUUUUCCUGAUGUUAAGUCCCUUUUCAUAUAUCUAUUGGCUAUGUGUAUGUCUUCUUUGGAAAAAUAUCUAUUCAGUUUCUUUGUCUUUUUAAUCUUUUUUGUUGUUGUUAUUGAGUUGUAGGCAUAACAUGUAUUUUGAGUAUUCACUCUAUCAGAUAUAUUGUUUGUAAAUAUUUUUUCCAAAGUUUUCUACAUAUUCAGGGCAAUUCAAUGGCAUUUUGGGAAAAAAUAGAAAAAUAAUCCUAAAAGUCAUAUGGAACCGCUAAAGAUCCCAGAUAGCCUAAGCAAUGUUGAGCAAGAAGAGCAAAGCUGGAGGCAUCAUAUUUCCUGAAUUCAAAAUAUAUCACAAAGCUACAGUAGUCAAAACAUUAUGGUACUGGCAUAAAAACAAACAUAUAGACCAACGAAACAGAGUAGAGAGCCUAGAAAUAAAGCCGCAUAUACAGUCAACCAAUUUUUUUUUUCAGUUUCAUGCAUUGUGACUCCUCAUUUUUAUUUUUAUUUUUCCAGUUGUAUUGAUAGUGCAUGAUGACUUGAUUUACAUAUAUUGUGAAAUGAUUACCACGUAGAUUCAACUAACAUCUGCCUUUUCAUAUAGACACUAUAAAAAUAAAGAGGAAAGUUUUCUCCAUUUGAUGAGAACUGAUAGGAUUUAAUCUCUUAAGAGCGUCCCUAUAAACAAUAUAGCAGUGUUAACUAUGUUCAUCAUCUUGUCCAUUAUGGCCCUAGUACUUAUUUAUCGUAUAACUAGAAGUUUAUAUCUUUUGACCACCUUCCUUCAAUUCUUCUCCAUCCACUCUCCACCUCUGCUAACUAAAAGUCUUAUCUCUUUUUUUAUGAGUUGGUGUUUUUUAAAUUUCACAUAUAGGAGUUCCUAUUGUGGCUCAGCAGGUUAGGAACCUGACUAGUACCCAUGAGGAUAUGUGUUUGAUCCCUGGCCUUGCUCAGUGGGUUAAGGAUCCUGUGCUACUGCAAGCUGUGGUGUAAGUCACAGAUACGAUUGGGAUCCUGUGUUGUUGUGGCUGUGGUUUAGACCGGUAGCUGCAGAUCCGAUUCAACCCCUAGCCUGGGAACUUCCAAAAGCCACAGGUGCGGCCCUAAAAAGAAUAAAAAAAUUCUACAUGUAAAUGAUAUCAUACGUAUCUGCCUUUCUCUAUCUGACUUAUUUCACUAAGCAUAAUACUGUCUAGGUACAUCUAAGUUGUUGCAAAGGGAAUAAUUUCAUUCUUUUUGGGACUGAGUAAUAGUUCAUUUUAUAUAUAUAUAUAUAUAUAAAAUCUUUAAUUUAUUUUAAGUUAAUUUUUGUGAGUGGCCUAAGAUAAGGGUUUAGGUUCAUUCUUUCACAUGUGAAUAUCCAAUAUUCCAACACUAUUUAUUGAGGAGAACUGUCUUUGCCUUCCUUGUCAAAGAUUAGCAGUCAGCUAUUCUUAUGUAUUUCCCCAUUUUCACAAUGUGUAAGAAUUUCCCCAUUUAGUAUUCUUGUAUUGUGCCAAGAAUACACAUGGGGAAAGGAUAGUCUCUUCAAUAAAUGGUAUUGAGAAAACUGGAUAGCCAUAGGCAAAAGAAUGAAAUUGGACAUUUAUCUUAUACCAUAUUAAAAAAUCAACUCAAGAGUUCCCAUUGUGGCUUAGUGGAUUAAGGACCCAACAUAGUCUCUGUACAGGUUUAAUCCUUGGCCUCACUCUUUGGGUUAAGGACCCAGCAUUGCCACAAGCUGUGGUGUAGGUCAAAGAUGCGGCUUGGAUCUGGUGUUGCUAUGGCUGCAGCUCCAAUUUGAUCUCUAACCUAGGUGUGGCAGUAAAAAAAANAAAAAAAAAAAAAAAAAAAAAAAAAAAA
This 3454-nucleotide long non-coding RNA is filed under the name Sus scrofa (pig). RNAcentral describes it as "lncRNA (ENSSSCG00045014398.1)". The record is from RNAcentral. Lineage: Eukaryota; Metazoa; Chordata; Mammalia; Artiodactyla; Suidae.